AAAAAAAAAAAAAAAAAAAAAAAAACUGACUGAGAUUAUUGUUAUUUCAUUUUGGUAAGCUCCCUACUGAAGGUAAACUGAAAAGAAAAGUAAAACAAGAUAUACUACUACUGUAAAGGGUUGCAUUCAUUUCAGCUCACAGUGACAACUCUGCUCUCCAAAAGUGCUAAGUUUUGGCAGCUCAAUCCAGCUUCACAGAAGAGAACAAGUAGUGCACAAACCAGAAUGAUGAAAGAAACCCAACUGUUCCGGUUGCAAACAUAAUUGCUAGAACCAUUAGAAGAGAAUACCCCAGAUACAGUGUUGCAGAGACCGGCCCACUUAAACUCUUGAGAUCAAAUAC
This 343-nucleotide unclassified non-coding RNA is filed under the name Hevea brasiliensis (rubber tree). The record is from RNAcentral. Lineage: Eukaryota; Viridiplantae; Streptophyta; Magnoliopsida; Malpighiales; Euphorbiaceae.